GAUCCCAUCAGAACUCCGAAGUUAAGCGUGCCUGGGCGAGAGCAGUACUAAGAUGGGUGACCUUUUGGGAAGUCCUCGUGUUGCACCCUUUUUCUUUUCUUUUUCUUUUUUUUUUUUUUUCACUCGAACUGCUCGCAACAAUUUCUUUUACCUUCAGCAAUCAAUCAGUUUGCAGCUGUGUAGAUCACAAAAAAUUACGCGAAAUGAAAAAAAAGAUCACGAAAAAAGACCAAACGGGUGAAAAGAUAUGGCCUCCCNAAGGAAUAGGAUGAAUAUGAAUAAAUUGUGGGCGAAAAGCAUAGCGGGUGCGAUCAUACCAGCACUAAAGCACCGA
RNAcentral lists this ribosomal RNA (334 nucleotides) under Hevea brasiliensis (rubber tree). The record is from RNAcentral. Lineage: Eukaryota; Viridiplantae; Streptophyta; Magnoliopsida; Malpighiales; Euphorbiaceae.